Molecule: ribosomal RNA, 618 nt
Filed under: Pseudomonas aeruginosa
Lineage: Bacteria; Pseudomonadati; Pseudomonadota; Gammaproteobacteria; Pseudomonadales; Pseudomonadaceae
Description: bacterial SSU rRNA
Rfam family: Bacterial small subunit ribosomal RNA
Source: RNAcentral
GGCCUAACACAUGCAAGUCGAGCGGUAGCACAGAGAGCUUGCUCUCGGGUGACGAGCGGCGGACGGGUGAGUAAUGUCUGGGAAACUGCCUGAUGGAGGGGGAUAACUACUGGAAACGGUAGCUAAUACCGCAUAACGUCGCAAGACCAAAGUGGGGGACCUUCGGGCCUCAUGCCAUCAGAUGUGCCCAGAUGGGAUUAGCUAGUAGGUGGGGUAACGGCUCACCUAGGCGACGAUCCCUAGCUGGUCUGAGAGGAUGACCAGCCACACUGGAACUGAGACACGGUCCAGACUCCUACGGGAGGCAGCAGUGGGGAAUAUUGCACAAUGGGCGCAAGCCUGAUGCAGCCAUGCCGCGUGUGUGAAGAAGGCCUUCGGGUUGUAAAGCACUUUCAGCGGGGAGGAAGGCGUUAAGGUUAAUAACCUUGGCGAUUGACGUUACCCGCAGAAGAAGCACCGGCUAACUCCGUGCCAGCAGCCGCGGUAAUACGGAGGGUGCAAGCGUUAAUCGGAAUUACUGGGCGUAAAGCGCACGCAGGCGGUCUGUCAAGUCGGAUGUGAAAUCCCCGGGCUCAACCUGGGAACUGCAUUCGAAACUGGCAGGCUAGAGUCUUGUAU